Zonotrichia albicollis (white-throated sparrow) is the source of this 395-nucleotide non-coding RNA. The record is from RefSeq and is a predicted model, not a curated record. NCBI's taxonomy places the organism in Eukaryota, Metazoa, Chordata, Aves, Passeriformes, Passerellidae.
GUGGUUAAAGCAGACUUAUUGCUACCUUUACAGCAGGUUUCUAUAACCAUUUAUUUCAAAUUACAUAGGGCUUGUUAUGGGCAGUGUGGCAGAGCCAGAGGGCAGACCAGUCUGUGCAGGAAUUCAAAAUACAGGAUGGCUCUACCAGAGCCUCAGUGCCAACUGUGUCUUUGCUAGUUAACACAGAAUGGUUAAAUACUAAGUAAAUGCCUGGAAAAGAUAUAUUCAGCUUGGUCUUCUAAAAUCUGAUGUAAAUGGCAAGUGGUACUUCCUUUGCAUUUAAUUUCUGUGGAAGUAUUGAGCUUGUUCUUUAAUUCCUCCUAGUGCUGAAGAAAUCUACUGGGGUUGGAGCUAUUUACAGUGGCAGCAUAAUAAAUAAGGAAACAAAGACAUUA